Molecule: ribosomal RNA, 468 nt
Filed under: uncultured bacterium
Lineage: Bacteria
Description: partial 16S ribosomal RNA
Rfam family: Bacterial small subunit ribosomal RNA
Source: RNAcentral
GACGAACGCUGGCGGCGUGCUUAACACAUGCAAGUCGAACGGAAAGGCCCUGCUUUUGUGGGGUGCUCGAGUGGCGAACGGGUGAGUAACACGUGAGUAACCUGCCCUUGACUUUGGGAUAACUUCAGGAAACUGGGGCUAAUACCGGAUAGGAGCUCCUGCUGCAUGGUGGUGGUUGGAAAGUUUCGGCUGUUGUGGAUGGACUCGCGGCUUAUCGGCUUGUUGGUGGGGUAGUGGCUUACCAAGGGUUUGACGGGUAGCCGGCCUGAGAGGGGAACCGGCGACAUGGCGACUGAGAGACGGACCAGAAUCCAACGGGAGGCAGCAGUGGAGAAUAUGGCAGAACGGGCGGAAGCCAGAGGCAGAAACGCUGGGAGCGGGAUGACGGGCUUCGAGGGGUAAACCGCUUUGGCAGGUGACAAAGAGUGAGUGACGGUAAUGGGUAAAGAAGCACCGGCUAACUACGUG